Molecule: RNA transcript, 3743 nt
Organism: Abrus precatorius (Indian licorice)
Lineage: Eukaryota; Viridiplantae; Streptophyta; Magnoliopsida; Fabales; Fabaceae
Gene name: serine/threonine-protein kinase prpf4B-like
Exons: 13
Source: RefSeq, a predicted model, not a curated record
GCACGUGCGAGGUGGUUCCUCCUCCUUUCCAUAACCUAUGUCCUCCGUAGAAUUUGACCCAACCCACAACCUCCGUGUUCUUCCGAUCAACGAAGCAAAACCCUAACCCUAACCUUUAUCAUCAACUUCUCCGAUCAAUCGAUCAUGACCACCGACGACAGCCACAAUUCCCUUCGCAAGCACCGCCGCUCCUCCUCUCCGGAGGACGCUGACAGAUCCUCGAAGCGCCACCACCGCCUCAGGAGCACAAAGCGCAAUGUAGAAAGCGAAUGCGAUUGCGAAACUGCUGCGGAGGCUCCUUCUCCGACUCUGUCCCGUAAUUCUGGUCCGAGUUGUCACGUGCCCGAUGACGACGAUGUGGAAGAGGGAGAGAUUCUCGAAGAAGAUGAUGGUGUUACUCAGAAACAGCUUGGCGAAAGCGACGUAGCCGUAGAUCGGGAUGUUCGAUCUGGUAAAGCAAAUCUGGGACUUUUUGUCCAAGAGACUUUGUUGCAUGCUGAUGAUUUAAAAACUAGAAGGGAGUGCAUUAGCGAUUAUAAAUUUACUAGUCCUGAUGGAGAAGACGGGACAUACUGUCAUAGUAACAUUAACCAUGAAAUACAUGAAGAUGAAGGUUUUCCUAAGUAUUCAAGUGGUGAUCGUCGAGAUGGAAAGGAUGCUAUAGCUAGUACAGAUGGUAUGGACAUUGGGCUUUUGGAUCAUAAAUCUUCUAAAGGAGAUAAGAGGCAUAAUGGAGAACAUGGAUGUUUUAAUGGAAACAAGAAACUAAAAGGUAACUGUGAUGAUGAAGAUGUGGACGUUGAUAAAGGGAAAAUAGAUUACUGUAGAAACUCUUUCUCUGAGAGUGGAGGAGAGAGAUAUAGAAUGGCAAGAUGUUCACCUUCUCGUGAUAGAUAUAGAAGUCAAUCAAGAUCAUAUGGUCAUAUUAGUAACAGGUCUCAUUCUUGUAGUAUAGUAAAAGAAUAUGCUCAUUCCAAGAGAAGGCACUCUGGUGAACAAGGGGACCUUUCAUAUGUGAGUAUACUAAAAACUGACUAUGACCUUGAUGAUGAAAGAGUGAUUGCAAACAUAUGGGAGUGUGGUCAUGUCAGUAGAGAUUUGGUAGUGGAUGAAGGAAGGGAACAUAGAGCAAGUUACCACAUGCGGGAGGGCUUGGAUAAGGAUAGGAGUAGGGGCCAAGAUGUUGAUAGGGACAUUAAGAUGGAAAGAAAGCAAGAGAGGAGCAGGAAUAGGGAGGUCAAUUGGGUGUGUAGAAAGGAAAAGGAACAUGAAAGGAGCCAUGAAAGGCAUAGAAGGGAUGUAGAAAAAGAUAGGAGCAGGGAAAGGGAAUGUUAUAGGGAUAGGAGAAGAGAAAAGGAAAGAGACAGGAGCAGGGAGAUGGUGUUUGAGAGGGAUAGGAGAAGGGAUAAGGAAACAUAUCGAAGCAGCAACAGAACAAGGGGUGGUGAGGGAGAUACAGACUGGGAAAGUGAACAGGAUGAUAAGAAUCAGGAAAGGAAUAAAAUCAAGGACAGGGAGAUGGAGAGGGGAGAUGAUAGAAAUAGGUACAAGGAUAGAGGCACUCUGGAUGAUAAGUAUCCCUGUCAAGAGGAUGGUUAUGAUAGUCAUGAUAGGUAUAAAAGGCAUUCAAAACAGAAAGAAACUGAAUGCCAGCAAGAAAGAAAAAUAAAUUCUGGGCCUAUAAAGGUUUAUAACUCUUUGGGAAGUACCUCAGUAGAUGAUGAAAGCAAACUAGAGAGAGUGGAGGAUGAACAAGAUGACUUGGAUGAGAAGAUUACAUUGCAAUUACCUGAUCAAGAAGAGGAAGAUCUCAAUAGGGUUAAAGAGGAGAGUAGAAGGAGAAGGGAAGCAAUCUUAGAGAAGUACAAGAAGAAACAGCAACAAGUUGAACAAACUACAGAAAAUGAAGGAAAAGACAAACAAGCUGUGGAGAUUCCUUCUGCUAUUUGUGAAGCUCUUGAUGUUACAAGCAAUGGUGUUGGUAAUGCAGAAACAUUUUUCUCUGUCAGGAAAUCUCCUCUGGAAAAUGAGAGUGUUGCUUUUGAUAAGAUUUCUGGUGCUAGAGGCCUUGGAGAGGGUAGUCCUAAGAGUGAGAGAUCAGGUGACAAGUUUUGUGAUGAUAUAUUUGGCGAUACACCAACUGGAGUUCAGAAAUCAGCCAAAGGAGAUGGUUUACAAAUUGAGAGGGGUGGCCUACAUGACAAUUGGGAUGAUGCAGAAGGUUAUUACAGUUACCGUUUUGGUGAAAUACUUGAUGGCCAAUAUGAAGUCACCGCUGCUCAUGGGAGGGGUGUCUUUUCAACAGUGGUCCGAGCAAGGAAUCUUAAAAAUGGCAAUGGUGAGCCUAAAGAAGUUGCUGUAAAAAUUAUUCGUAAUAAUGAUACAAUGUACAAGGCUGGUAUGGAUGAGUUAGUCAUAUUAAAGAAAUUAGUAGGUGCUGAUCCUGAUGAUAAGCGUCAUUGUGUUCGUUUCCUUUCAAGUUUUAAACACAGGAAUCACCUUUGUUUAGUCUUUGAAUCUCUCCAUAUGAAUCUACGUGAGGUUUUAAAGAAGUUUGGUCGCAACAUUGGGCUUAGGCUAACUGCAGUGAGAGUGUAUGCAAAACAACUUUUUAUUGCACUAAAGCAUCUCCGGAACUGUGGUGUUCUCCAUUGUGAUAUAAAGCCUGAUAAUAUGUUGGUGAAUGAUGCCAAAAAUGUGUUGAAACUUUGUGACUUGGGUAAUGCCAUGUUUGCUGGUAAAAAUGAAGUUACACCCUAUCUUGUGAGUCGAUUUUAUCGUGCCCCUGAAAUAAUACUUGGCUUGCCCUAUGAUCAUCCAUUGGAUAUAUGGUCUGUGGCCUGUUGUUUGUAUGAACUCUAUACAGGGAAAGUUCUUUUUCCAGGUUCUACAAACAAUGAUAUGCUUCGACUUCACAUGGAAUUGAAGGGUCCUUUUCCAAAAAAGAUGCUUCGUAAGGGAGCAUUUAUUGUACAGCAUUUUGAUCAGGACCUGAAUUUUCUUGCUACAGAGGAGGAUCCUGUGACAAAAAAGGCCAUAAAGCGGAUGAUUGUAAACAUAAAGCCAAAAGAUAUUGGAGCAAUCAUCGCUGGCUCUCUGGGAGAGGAUCCAAAGAUGUUAGCCAAUUUUAAGGAUCUUCUGGAAAAAGUUUUCAUUUUGGAUCCAGACAAGAGGUUGACAGUCUCACAGGCAUUAAAUCACCCCUUCAUCACUGGCAAGUGAACAAUGUUGCUGAUUUUGACUCCCAAAAUGAUAUACACUGAUAUCUGUACAUAAUGUUUUAAUUCAUAUUGAGAUUCUAAUUAUUUGGCAUUAUUUAUCUUCUGUGACGGCCCAAGAGAUCAGCACAGUUGUUGGCCUGUUGAAGUGAAAAAGGGUGAUGUCUGGUGAGAGUGAACACUUGACUGGCAGUUCUUUCAGUGGAAAGUACUCUUUCUAUUGUAAGAUAACACGCCAAAGGAGACCACCCACUGGUCUGAGGCUUUCCUCCCGUGAAUAGAUGCUUAAAAGGCACCCAGGAGAAGGUACCUUGGCUUGUUUGUUGGGAGAUUAAUUUAACUGCAAUAGAGUGAAAUGUGAUUUCCUUUCCAAAUUUUAUUUCCAAUAGGAUCAUUAGGUUUGAUUUGGGGGAAUAAUUUAAGUUUGAAUGGUCUUUUUUAAGUCCUGAGGAAAUUCAAUGAUUGGAAUUGCUCCUUAAGCACAUGCAAGCAUGCAAUUUUGUGCUUUAAGCUAGGUAGCUCGGU